CAGGAAGUUGGGAACUGGUGGAUUUGCUUUUGUUUAUCUUGUCACAGCAAUCAAGAACCCUUCUAAAUUCUACGCAGCUAAAUACCAGAGAACAAAAGAUACAGAGGAAAAAUUCAAUGCCAGGACAGAGGUAGCUCUUCUACACAAAUCUAUUGGGUGUCCUCACAUAGUUCAGUUCCAGGAUUUUUACGAAGGUGGAAGUGAAAGCAUCAUAGGAAUUUUAUCAAAUUAAUUGAACCAUUUAAAGCGUCAUUUUAG
Long non-coding RNA from Eurytemora carolleeae, 258 nucleotides. RefSeq lists it as uncharacterized. The transcript has 4 exons. NCBI's taxonomy places the organism in Eukaryota, Metazoa, Arthropoda, Copepoda, Calanoida, Temoridae. The record is from RefSeq and is a predicted model, not a curated record.